AUUGAACGCUGGCGGCAGGCCUAACACAUGCAAGUCGAGCGAGCGGCGGACGGGUGAGUAAUGUAUGGGGACUGCCCGAUAGAGGGGGCUAACUACUGGAAACGGUAGCUAAUACCGCAUCCUAUCGGAUAACCCAUAUGGGAUUAGCUAGUAGGUGAGGUAAUGGCUCACCUAGGCGACGAUCCCUAGCUGGUCUGAGAGGAUGAUCAGCAACAUUAGGACUGAGAGACGGACCAGACUCCUACGGAGGAAGCAGGGGGGGAUAUUGCACAAGGGGCGAAAGGCUGAUGCAGCGACGCCGCGUGGAGGAUGAAGGCUUUCGGGUUGUAAACCUCUUUCGCUAUCGAACGGGUAGGUGGAGAAGAAGCGCCGGCUAACUACGUGCCAGCAGCCGCGGUAAUAC
This 403-nucleotide ribosomal RNA is filed under the name uncultured bacterium. RNAcentral's name for it is "partial 16S ribosomal RNA". It matches the Rfam family "Bacterial small subunit ribosomal RNA", at positions 30 to 526 of the family's 1533-position model. The record is from RNAcentral.